GGCGGCGGCGGCGGCGGGGGCAGCGCGGAGCGGCGGGGGCAGGUGGGCCCCGCCGCCGCCGCCGCGCCGCCACCCUCCAGGAGCAGGUGAGCCACUGACUAACGCACAUUGUGCUCUCGGCGACCCCACUGUGCGUGUGACAGCGGCUAACCUGCUCCUCGGGCACCGCUGGGCGGCCGCCUCGCCUCGCCGGCACGACGCCUCGCACCCGCGGCGGGGCUGCGGCGCGAUGAGGAGAUGCCGCCCGCCCGCCCGUCCCACCUGCAGCUUCCCAUCGCCAGCGACUGACCACCACCAGCCUCAGCUCCGCCCGUCCCACCAAGUGAGUGACUUCCCAUCACCGGCCGCGCCAAGCCUCGCUGCCCUCCGUCUGUCCAUCCGUCCCACCAGCGAGUGACUUCCCAGCGCUUGCAGUGGCAGAGCCGGGCGGAGCGGAGCAGGGGAGCAGGCAGCCGAGGCAAAGAGUCGGUGGUGAAGUUGCACGGGCUGGAGCGGCCGGGUGAAGGAGAGAUGUGGUUUCCCUCUCCCCACCCCCCCCCCCCCCCGCCCCUGCUCGUCUCCAAAGUAAAUACGUAUUAAUGGACGCUGUACCAAGUUAAAGAGGAGCUUUAUCCCAGCCGGUGACGUCUUGAUACCCAGUCAGUGACUAACUGAACUGCUAUUGCCAAGGGUGUGUUAAUAGAAGAAACCAUGCCUGGUAUUGCCCUGGAUGAGUCACCUUUAAAGAGAGACUCUGUAAUCUGUUAAAUGAGAAGCAGAAACGAGCCUUGCUUUCCUUUUUUGCUGUUGCUUGCUUCCCAUCCCACCCCUCACCUUUGCUCCCUCCUUUCUGCUUCUAGCACCGGGGCUGUUUUGGUCCCGGCCGGGCUGCCCUGCACGCUCACGCUGUGAUAUCACGCAGGGGACUCAGACUUCAUGGCCUGAGGAGCAGGAAGGCGAACGGGCAGGGACUCCUCCAGCUGUGCAGGGCAGCUGUCACUCGAAAUCGAGGAAGUGACGAGGCAAAUUGCUUCUUGAGCAAAGUUUUCUCUUUCGAUUUUGAGCCCAUCAAAGGAGCUGGGUAGUUGAAAAGUGUCUUUUUAGAGCAUGGCACAGCUUUAUCUCCUGCUUAAGCUAAUAAUAACCAGAUAGGAUUCACUGCAGCCCUCCCAGAUUUCCUGAAAGGGUUUUCUGAAAGGUAGCCUCUCUUGCUUGGGCUGCUGACAUGUAACCCUGGACUGUUGUACAGGCAUAAUCUCCUGAAGGAAUCAGCAGCGCUCUGCUCAGUAAGUACUUAACCAUACAGAAAAGCAGAGCGACAUCCUUUCUACAGAGCAAGUCUCUUACAAAGAAAUUGUGCCUGUCCCCAUCUCCCCUGCCUGUGCUCGUUUGACAUUUCUCCUGUCAGGUCCCAGAGGAGCAUCUGCUCUUCAGAAAGGAAAAUCAGUUCCUUACGUGCCUCGUGCUGAUUAGGUGAGUCAAGGCACACCAGAAAGAGAGGAAAACUGCCUGAAUUUACCAAAGCUUUCACACUUGUUCAGUAGCCAAACGGGUCUUGUCUGAUGGGGGGGGGAACAAAUUUCUCAGCUUUCCCAGCCCCAGACAGCUUUCCUCUUCCCCAGCUGCACUUCCAGCUGCAGAUCUGCAGCUCUCUGAGCAGGCAGGAGCACCGGUGUGGCCAUGUAGAGAUCAGGGUGGGGGGAAACGUGCAAGAUACCAGUACCUGCAUAUGGCUGUCUGUGUCCUGACAGCGUAUCCGCACAUUGAAACUGAAGUCUGGCAAUGCUGUACCACCUUAUUUCACAGGUAACAAAUCUGUACCCAAAAACGAAGGCGCUCUGCUUCUCUUUGAAGAAAUAGCCCCGCGCUGCCCGAUGACUAACUGCUGGAGACCCCACCGGCAGAAAUGGCUCUGCAGGUUGCCCGGUUGCUCUGGCAAGGUUUGUCCCAGUUCCCAUCAGGCAGCACUCGGUAUGAAAACUUGCAGCUUCCCGCUACCUACGAGACCAUCCUGUUCAGCUCCAGUAAGCAAAGGCAAGGGAUUGAAAUGAGCACUUCGCAGAGGGAAGCGAGCAGGUGUAACCUGUCGUGCGCUGGGCUAGGAAGCACCUAGUGUGUUCUGUCAAUAGCGUGCCGGUGGCAAAUCAAAGCUGUGAGUCUCCGAGGGAGCAAGCUGGCCUGUCAGGAAAAGAAGGGCUACAUGAAUUGUUUAAGAGGACGUCGGUUAGUUACAUGGCAAGGUAGAAUGUGCUCGGUCUUUACUGUGAGACACAAAAAGGAAAACCAUCACUGUGAGAACAGACAAUGCUCUGCGUGGACAGACGCGCACACGUGCCAGUUCAGAUAGUUUCUCUUCUCUGGCUUCAGUGAGCUG
This is a long non-coding RNA of Cygnus olor (mute swan), 2353 nucleotides long. RefSeq lists it as uncharacterized. The transcript is spliced from 4 exons. The record is from RefSeq and is a predicted model, not a curated record. Lineage: Eukaryota; Metazoa; Chordata; Aves; Anseriformes; Anatidae.